AACGAACGCUGGCGGCAUGCCUAACACAUGCAAGUCGAACGGGAUCCUGGCUUGCUAGGUGAGAGUGGCGGACGGGUGAGUAACACGUGGGAAUCUGCCUUUUGGUUCGGGAUAACCGCGGGAAACUGCGGCUAAUACCGAAUGCCCUCGAGAGAGGAAAGAUUUAUCGCCAGAAGAGGAGCCCGCGUCCGAUUAGGUAGUUGGUGGGGGCAAAGGCCUACCAAGCCGACGAUCGGUAGCUGGUCUGAGAGGAUGAUCAGCCACACUGGGACUGAGAUACGGCCCAGACUCCUACGGGAGGCAGCAGUGGGGAAUAUUGGACAAUGGGGGCAACCCUGAUCCAGCAAUGCCGCGUGAGUGAUGAAGGCCUUAGGGUUGUAAAGCUCUUUACCCGGGAUGAUAAUGACAGUACCGGGAGAAUAAGCCCCGGCUAACUCCGUGCCAGCAGCCGCGGUAAU
This 458-nucleotide ribosomal RNA is filed under the name uncultured bacterium. RNAcentral describes it as "bacterial SSU rRNA". It matches the Rfam family "Bacterial small subunit ribosomal RNA", at positions 29 to 524 of the family's 1533-position model. The record is from RNAcentral.